AUGCUGCCCCCUCCUCUGCUUCCUUUCUGCUGGAUGAGCAUGCUCCUCUGUGGUAUCUUAAUGUUUCCAUGUACUUGGACAUGCCAGAGGCCAAAAUAAUGAAGCAAGUAACUGUGGACCAACACUCUGAAAACACGAACCAACCUUUCCUUCCUUUGACUCGUUUCUCUCAAGUAUUGUCACAGCAGUGGAGAGCUGGCUAGCACUUCUCCCAUGGACGUAUUUCCAAGUGGGUAAAUCUACUGGCAUCUUGUUAAAAGAUGAUUGAGUGGCACUAGCAGCAUGAACCUAGGGUCCCUCUGAAUCCUGGACCCUCUGUGAUGCGUACACCCCUGGCCUAUGGCACCUGCCCAUCUCCCUGUUCAGCCCAGGCACUUUGUAGACAGAGUUUGGAACCUUGAGAAGAUGGCGAA
This 413-nucleotide long non-coding RNA is filed under the name Mus caroli (Ryukyu mouse). Its description in RNAcentral is "lncRNA (MGP_CAROLIEiJ_G0002352.1)". Lineage: Eukaryota; Metazoa; Chordata; Mammalia; Rodentia; Muridae. The record is from RNAcentral.